This 446-nucleotide ribosomal RNA is filed under the name uncultured bacterium. RNAcentral's name for it is "partial 16S ribosomal RNA". It matches the Rfam family "Bacterial small subunit ribosomal RNA", at positions 338 to 795 of the family's 1533-position model. The record is from RNAcentral.
CCUACGGGCGGCAGCAGUCGAGAAUCAUUCACAAUGGGGGAAACCCUGAUGGUGCGACGCCGCGUGGGGGAAUGAAGGUCUUCGGAUUGUAAACCCCUGUCAUGUGGGAGCAAAUUAAAAAGAUAGUACCACAAGAGGAAGAGACGGCUAACUCUGUGCAAGCAGCCGCGGUAAUACAGAGGUCUCAAGCGUUGUUCGGAAUCACUGGGCGUAAAGCGUGCGUAGGCUGUUUCGUAAGUCGUGUGUGAAAGGCGAGGGCUCAACCCGCGGACGGCACAUGAUACUGCGAGACUAGAGUAAUGGAGGGGGAGCCGGAAUUCUCGGUGUAGCAGUGAAAUGCGUAGAUAUCGAGAGGAACACUCGUGGCGAAGGCGGGUUCCUGGACAUUAACUGACGCUGAGGCACGAAGGCCAGGGGAGCGAAAGGGAUUAGAUACCCGAGUAGUC